UUUUUUUUUUUUUUUUUUUUACAGAUCUGAGGUUUCUGGAAACUAAAGUCUGCAUAAUAACUCAUAUGGAGAACGUCAACAUUUUUUAUCAUCCACAAUCAGAAUCACACAAGGCAAGCACAGAUCAGCGGUAAUUAUCUAGAUGUUUGAGACAAAGCUCUCUCCUUUCUUUUAAGACAACCCAACAUCCACAAAAGCCAAGCGUGGAUCAUUAAUUACACUCAGAUUAUCUCAGAAUAUCCCUAAUUUCCUGCCUGACAGGCUCUGUUCCAGCUGAAUUACUCAUCAGAUGCUGGGUUUGAGCUUUAGCCUUCCAAGAUGGCUUUUUUUUUUUCCUUUUCACCAACUUACAUAUUGCAUUUUUUGUUGUUGCUGUUGCUGUUGCUGUUCCCUUCAAGGUGUCAGAUAAAAUACUGCACCCUCUAGAAUCUAUUCAGAAGAAAUGUCUAAGAAUUAGUCGUAAAUCUGACCGUGCAUGAGCCGGUCCCAGGUUCUGCAAGAAAGAGAAAACAGCCCAGCUCCCCUUAGCCGAUCACGCCAAAGAGAUGCCAGCUCACGGUCCAAGGGUCUCAUGGUCAGUUUCCAAGAGUCCAGCCCUGGGGGAACGUUCCCUGAUGAAUCGCGUAUCUCCCGGGAAGCCCCCCGAGGUUGCGGUGAUGCUUCAAGGGAGAUCCUGCUUGGACAAUGAUGGGCUCGUGAGGUCUCCCUGCUCGCUUGCCUCCAUCUGAAGGAGCAACCAAGAUCAAGGCGCUCUUCCUGUCUCCCGGGAGUCCUUCCUACCUCUCUCCGGAGCCAUUCAUUCUUUGGGUCCAGAGCCCCUCUUCAGGGCAGCAUUUGGAUUUUGCGAAGGUGACGGUCACGCGGUGGGGGACCUGUUCCAGGCUCUCUGUACCCCAGGAGGACCCACACGACAGGACGUGCCACCCCCUACCCCACUUCUGAACAUCUCAGAGCAGAACGUGAUACGACAGACACCCUUCCUUUCAUGAUGCCAGCUUCUUCUUUUGAUUUUAAUAAUAUUUUUCAUGGACGUAGAGUUGAUUUACAAGGCUGGGUUAGUUUCAGCAGAGUGAUUUAGUUACACACACACACUCACACACAUAUAUUCUUUUUCUGAUUUUUUUUCCCCAUGGUAGGUUAUUACAGGAUAUUGAAUAGAGUUCCCUGUGCUGGACAGUAGGUCCUUUUCCCAUCGUGGCUCAGUGGGUUGUGCACCGACUAGGAUCCAUGAGGACGCGGGUUCAAUCCCUGGCCUCGCUCCGUGGGUUAAGGAUCUGGCAUUGCUGUGAGCUGUGGUGUAGGUUGCAGACGUGGCUCGGAUCUGGUGUUGCUGUGGUUGUGGUGUAGAGUGACACCUGCAGCUCCGAUUCGACCCCUGGCCUGGAAACUUGCAUGUGCUGCGGGUGCAGCCCCAAAAAGACAAAAAAAAAAAAAGAUGUACGGAGAACGAGAAAAAGAUGCAGGGCUAUCUGUCCAUAGCAUCUCCCCAGGAGGGUCCUUCUGGAAAGAAUGGAAGCCCCGUGAGGUGUCUUUUGCCACCUCUGCACAACAGAGGUGUUUUGCAAAGGGACAGGGGAUGGACCCAGAGGGAGAUGGGGGGAGACUGCCCCCGUGGGACUUGUUCCUGGCACCAUGACUGACAACCAGACCCCCAGGCGUGGGUAGAAAUGGAUGGCAUGGGUUGAACCACCCCAGACAGCACACUGAGCAGAUGCCGGGAGGCCCCUGCACUCCCCAGGGCUGCAUCCCCUCUGCUUUCCAUGUGUCUUCACAUCCUGUUUUGCAAAAGCACACACGAGCCAGUGCGAUUUCCGUCCGGGGGAGAUAGUGAUUUUUGUAUCGGCCGCAAGCCAGCGGCAGCAUCUCGCCCCCGCUGCUGCAAGAGUUGGCUGCAAGGAGCCUUCAGUGGUCCCAGUCUGCUGAGGACCGGUCAGAAGGACAUCAUCUUUUUCGCUUGGCUGUGGCUCCCAACGUGUGUCAUUUCCUCAUUCCCAUCGCUGUGAGGCCAGGUCAGGUGGGAGGUUUAACUCUUUUUAAGGCACUGUCUUGACCCGGGCGACCUGACUUGUGAAGGGUUCUUUUUCUUUCUUUCCUUUUCUUUUUUUUUUCCAAAAUAGUUGUGAAGACCCCCUGCUCUCCCCCAAACCUGCCACACCCGCAUGUCCGGGGUAGGUCUGGGUGCGUGGAUUUUGGCAGUAUUUGCUGAUCGUCUCCUGGGGUUCUUAUUUCUCAAGCUGGGUGAAAACUUGACCCUGAAAGAUGUGUCUGGAUUGAAGAUCGCUUCCAAAGCUGAGGCUUAGGAGUCUAGAAACACUUCAAUUUGGGAUGGGGAGGAAAAAAAGCCUACCUAGGCAUUAGGGCUAAUGAAUGGCUUAGGAUUGGCAAAGUAGAUACAAGCAUAAGCCAAAAUAUAUCUUCUUCUUUUUAUUUAUUGGCAUGGGUGCAUCAGCCUCAGAAAAAUCUGUCUGCGGGAAGCAGCCAGAAUGUGGGCUCUGUGAGUCCUUCAUGUACUGUCUUCUUCUCUCAAAAUAUCUUUUGUUUUUUCCUCUUACAGAUAUGAUGGCCUUUCUUUUCGUUGUUAAAGAAAAGUUUCAUUGAAGUGGACUGGAUGGACACGGCUGUGAUCUUUUCUGCUGUACAGCAGAGUGACUCAGGCGUCCACGUCUACACAGCCAUUCUCCUUCAGAUUCAUUCCCCAUGUAGAUGAUCACAGCAUACUGGGUAGAGGUCGCUGUGCUGGACAGCAGGUGCCCGUUGGCCCGUCAUUCCACAGACCUCCGUGUGCACGUGCCAAUCCCACAGCCCCCAGUCCAUCCAUGCCCCCGCUGGUCGGUCCCCUUUGCUGACCAUAAGUUUGUUUUCAAAGUCUGUGAGUCUGUUUCUGUCCUGUAUUUAGGUUCCUUUGUGUCAUAUUUUAGAUUCCACUGCUAAGUGAUAGCUUACGGUAUUUGUUUUUCUCUUUUGGACUCAUUUCACUUAGUAUGAUAAGUUCUCGGUCCUUCCGUGUUGCUGUAAAUGGCAUGAUUCCAUAUGUUUUCAUGGCUGCGUAAUAUUCCACUGUGUAUAUACUGCAUGUUCGCUAUCCGUUCAUCUGCUGAUGGACAUUUAGGUUGUUUCCUUGUCUUGGCUGUUGUGAAUAGUGCUGCAGUGAACAUUGGGGUGCGUGGAUCGUUUCAAAUUUUGGUUUUGUCCAGAUAUAUGCCCAGGAGUGGGAUUCUGGAUCAUAGAGUAGAUCUGUGUUUAGUUUUUUAAGGACCCUCCAUCCUGUUUUCCAUAGGACACCACUUUGAAUUCCCACCUACCGUGGACAAGGCUGCUUUCUCUCCACUCCCUCUCCAGCAUGUGUUAUGGGUCGUCUUUUUGAUGAUGGUCAUUGUGGCAAAUGUUCCAAAUAGCUGUUGCAUCAUUGUCUUUUUCCUUUCCUUCUUUUUUUUUUCCCCCCUCUGGCCACACCCACAGCAGGUAGAAGUUCCCAGGCCAGGGUUUGAAUCCAAGCCACAGCAGUGACAAUGCUGGAUCCUUAAUGCUGAGCCACCAGGGAACACCUGCAUCCUUGUCUUGCACACCCAGCAGCCCCAGUGAUGGCUUCUCAUUCCUCUCAAACGUCCAAAGAUGUUCCUAUGUUGGUCACUCGCCAGGGCCUCUGUACCACAUCUGUCCCCAUCAUCACCCAGCAAUAUGUAUAUUGAUAUUCCAUGUGAGUUAAUGUCUCUUUUUGGAAUGUCUCAUGUCUUUAGUUCACAAACAAACAAAAAUCUAUAAAUGUUUCAAGGAUGCACACUCAAAGGAAAACACACGUGGCGAUUAGACAAGGCACCAAGUGUGAAUAGCACAGAACAUUUUUAGCCAGAAACCAAACCCGCUUGGAUGGGACUAGCGGUCGUAUGAAACCAGCAACAUCAAAGGAGAAUUUGAGACAUUCCCCCAGACUCCCUGGAGGGUCAUCAAGCAUCUUCUGCUCCCAAGGCCUCAGGGGUUCCUGGCUAAACACAUCCCAGGCUGCGGUUAUUCAGUCCUCAAAUUCAAAUUGGGAACAUCACGGGGAAGACGGGGUAAGGACCUCCGCUUCCGGUCAAGAUGGAGCGACAGGAACAGAAUUUGCCCUCCAGCCUCAAUCACAACCACAAAUGGUCUGAAUGUUGGCAGAUUCGCAGGUGCAAACUGGCAUAUAGAGGCGGGAUAAACCGCAGAGUCCCGCUAUGGAGCAUGGGCAGCUCUAUUCAGCAUCCUGUGAUAAACCAUUGUGGAAAAGCAUCCGAAAAAGAAUGUGUCUGUGUGGAUAACCGAGUCACGUCGUGGUCCAGCAGAAAGGAACACAGCAUUGCAAAUCCACUCUCCUUUGAUGAACUACCUUGUAAAUCAAUACAUAGUCCAGAUAUAGGCGAGAGCAGUUUUCAAGAGUGGCCAUGAGGCAGUUCUGAACAGUGACCCCGAGGGCCCCCAAAAGGAACCAGAUGCAAUCCCGGCAACCUGCGAUCCUUCAAGAGGGUGAAAAAAGACAAGAGGCACCAUGCAUUCCCUUGCAUGGUUCACCUUGGCCACACGGCACGGCCCCUGCUGCAAAGGAGGCUGGGAAGGGUCCCCCAUCAGGGCAAGCAUGUGCCCAGCAGCCCUGGGAGAGGUUCGAGGACAAAGGUGAGUAUGGGUUGGUGUCGGGUUAUUUGUAUCUGCUCACGUCUUCAGGGAGAUGAAUAACCCGGAGCCCAGACCACGGCACUGGGACUCACGGAAAACGGUCCCAUUGGAAAGGGAAGUUAGGAGUUCUGCUGUGCCUCAGUGGUGACAAAUCCCACUGGUAUCCAUGAGGAGGUGGGUUCCGUCCCUGGCCUCACUCAGGGGGUGAAGGUGUAAGUCACAGACGUGGCUCAGAUCUGGCGUUGCUGUGGCUGUGGUGCAGGCUGGCAGGUGCAGCUCCGAUUCAACCUCUAGCCUGGGAGCCUCCGUAUGCCGUGAGUGCCGUCCUACAAAUGCAA
RNAcentral lists this long non-coding RNA (4973 nucleotides) under Sus scrofa (pig). RNAcentral's name for it is "lncRNA (ENSSSCG00025021080.1)". The record is from RNAcentral. Lineage: Eukaryota; Metazoa; Chordata; Mammalia; Artiodactyla; Suidae.